This 406-nucleotide ribosomal RNA is filed under the name uncultured bacterium. RNAcentral's name for it is "partial 16S ribosomal RNA". It matches the Rfam family "Bacterial small subunit ribosomal RNA", at positions 30 to 526 of the family's 1533-position model. The record is from RNAcentral.
AUUGAACGCUGGCGGCAGGCCUAACACAUGCAAGUCGAGCGCGCGGCGGACGGGUGUGUAAUGUCUGGGAAACUGCCUGAUGGAGGGGGUAAACUACUGGAAACGGUAGCUAAUACCGCAUACCAUCCGAUGUUCCCAGAUGGGAUUAGCUAGUAGGUGGGGUAAAGGCUGACCUAGGCGACGAUCCCUAGCUGGUCUGAGAGGAUGAACAGCCACACUGGAACUGAGACACGGUCCAGACUCCUACGUGAGGCAGCAGUGGGGAAUAUUGCGCAAUGGGCGCAAGCCUGAUGCAGCCAUGCCGCGUGUAUGAAGAAGGCCUUCGGGUUGUAAAGUACUUUCAGCAGGGAGGCGUUACCCGCAGAAGAAGCACCGGCUAACUACGUGCCAGCCGCCGCGGUAAUAC